Molecule: long non-coding RNA, 4723 nt
Organism: Oncorhynchus nerka (sockeye salmon)
Lineage: Eukaryota; Metazoa; Chordata; Actinopteri; Salmoniformes; Salmonidae
Exons: 3
Source: RefSeq, a predicted model, not a curated record
UGUUGUAUCAACAACUUCCUGUACAUUCAGUGAGCGAUGUCUUAGAAACAUAAACAUAAUUACUAAAUUCGGUAAAAUGGACAACCGUUGUUAUUGUUGUUCAUCAAAGUUCACUCUCUUCAGGAAGGUUUGUUUGUGCCCCCUUACCCUACUCCCUUUACGUUUUUGUAGUUGGAUAUUUUUAUUCCAUGUGUAACUGUGUUCUCGUAUGUGUCGAACUGCUUUGCUUUAUCUUGGCCAGGUCCCAGUUGUAAAUGAGAACUUGUUCUCAACUAGCCUACCUGGUUAAAUAAAGGUGUAAAAUAUAUAUAUAUAUAUAUAUUUUAAAUGCUACAUGCUUUAUGUCCCUACCAGCCUAUGGUGUAUUUCUUUGUAGGCUGUAGCCUUGAAAUAAUAUAUCCUAAAUAAUUCAUUUUCAUUAUUUAUCAGGCUCCCUGUCUGGCUCCUGACCUAUUUAGAGUGUUUAUAUGCUGUUUAAUAUGACAUGUAGCCUAUUUGAAAUUAUGUUUGCUUCAUACGUUCACCUUUUCAAUGUUUAUUCAACUACUUUUCAUUCAAAUCCAUAUGGUUUGGUUUCAAUACUUCAAAAUCAAUUGGUAGGUCCAGGUAGUCACAAAAAUAGAUGGGUGUUGGUUAAAUUGUGAUUUUCAAUGAAUGAAUGGAGUUUUUUUCCCCCUGUGCGCCUGGAGUGGUUUUUAGUGGAGCAGUAGGAAAGGACAUAGAUUGCCGGAGCCGUGAACAAGCACCAUUCCAUGAGCUAUGUAUGAGCAGGACUUUCAACCACUCAACUCCGCUCACAUACUCUGGUGGGGAUGCAUCCCAACCUAAUUUUAGAUAGUGCUACUUUUCAUAACCACAAGAGGCUGCUGUUUUUAACUCAUUCCCAGCUCACGGAAUAAGCUGCAUUGAGGCCAGUGGCUACAACAUACCUCCUGAGCACAGUGGUGCAAAAAACACAGAAAUGACAGCUGCCCACAAGAAACAGACACCAGUUCUAUCGUGUUCAUCAUCGAGGACCCCAGCAGCUGCCCUGGCCAGUCAGGCUUCAGACAGUGAUGAGGAUGAGCUUCCCUGGUGCUGCAUCUGUAAUCAGGAGACCUCCAUCCGCUGUCACACCUGUGAUGGGGAUCUUUUACUGCAACCGCUGCUUCAGGGAGUGCCAUGAUAUGUAUGACAGGAAAGAGCACCACACAGCUACAGUAGUUACACGGCACCUAAGAAAAACAAAAGGACGACGACGUGAGACUGCAGGGGCUGGCAUCAGUGUUUCUUGGAGUCACUCUAAAAGAUGUGUCCUAUACCUUUUAAGAGGCUGGACAGUAUUCUUGGAAUUCUGCAGGAUCACAAAGAGAAGGCUUAUCCAAACACUACUACCUGUCUUUAGGGUUGAAAAAUUCCAGUAACUUUCCCAAAGUGCCCUGGUUUUCCAGAAAUCCUGGUUGGGAGAUUGCUGGAAUUAUGAGGGAAUAAGCAGGUGUGUAAAGUCCUUAAGUAAAAAAAAAUAGUUUAAAAGUACUACUUAAGUAGUUUUUUGGGGUAUCUGUACUGUACUUUACUAUUUAUAUUUUUGACAACUUUUUCUUCACUACAUUCCUAAAGAAAAUAAUGUACUUUUUACUCCAUACAUUUUCCCUGACACCCAAAAGUACUUUUUAUUUUACUGGAUGACAUUCACUUGUACUUGAGACAUUUUCUAUUAAAGUACAUUUACUAGGGAUAUGACAUCAUUGGCCAAUAUCAGAUAUUUCCUUGCCAAAAAAACGAUACCGAUAACCAAUGUUUAACAUUUUAGUGGCCAUUUAAGCAUUCUAGUGCAGUUAAAUAGUUGAAACACUCACACACACUGACCAAAAAGUUAUUUUGUUGGCAUUUACGUAUGUCCCCAUUACCUGUAAAACCUCAUCAAAACCUAUUUCUUUCACUUACUUGCUGUGCUGUUUCCUUGUCCAUUUGUUCAGUCUGAACCAGGAUUUCAUCAUACAUGUCAAGCAGUGAAGUUUCAGCUCUGUCUGUCUGUGGCCUCUCUUCCUCGGUGUGCACUGUCACUGAGUCCGUUUCCAUCUUGUCCAGCUGUGUCUUUAACAUUUCACGUAAACCCUGUUUCUUGUCUGCAUCGAAGUAGCGGUCCUUGUACCUAGCAUCUAGCAUGGUGGCAACACAGUAGAGGCUCAGAGAGAAUGUCACCGAAUCGCUUGUUCACAGCCUCUAGUAGAGUACUUUUCCAAGUUACCCCAACGGUCUGUGUUGGCAUUUUUGUUGAGCAGGCGUUUCAAUGCCUUGACAGGGUAUCACGUCUGCUGCAGACGCAGUUGAGCUUAUUUCUCGAUUCAGUUGUUUGAAUGGAGUUAAGAGUGUUCAUGUUUCCAAGUGUCAAACAUGUUCUCAAAUGCCAUUGAAAUGGCAGCAGUGGUAUGAGAACCAGCACAUUCUUGAGCAUGCAAUACGGCUUUCCUCAAUACGAAAUCCUCGUCGACCCACUGUGCUGUCAGACUCCUAAUGCUAAUGGGGCCGACAUCGCUGGUCCAAAUGUCAGUCGUGAAGCCAAUAGCAGUGACGCCCAUAGAUGUGAGUUUCAACAAUACUGUUUAACUCCGGUAGUGUAACAUCUGAAAAAUAGCAGCUACUUGGUAGUGUGUAACAGUGCUCGACCAGUCGGCGAAAGCCAACAUCAUCAACGACAGAACGGUUGAUUGUCAAGGGCAAUGAAUUCCAUUAUCUUGGCGUUAAUGGAUUUCGCCUUUGAGGUGUCUCGCUGAAAUUUUCUUACUCUUUCAAAUGACUGCUCGACUUGAUGACUGCUCGAUACACACAGCAGACAUUGUGGGCUAGGUUAGGAAUGCUGUGUGGCGCUAUAUUUUUUUGUGGCGGCAUUACGUCAUCUACCUGAGUUACAUAGGUAUGCAGGUCAGCUUUGACAUCGGUUUUGCACAUCGGCGUUAAACUAGACAUCGAGCCGAUGUUGUCAUUUUUAGCUAAUAUCGGUCGAUUCCAAUAUGCUUACCGAUAUAUCGUGCAUCCCUAAUCUUUACUUUUACUUAAGUAUGACAAUUGGGUACGUUUACCGCCACUGGUAAUAAGAAUUAAAUCCGGUAAUCCUCGUAAAACCAGGGAACUUUUGGAAAGUUACAAGAAUUUUGCAACCCUGCAGUGCAUUCGGAAAGUAUUCAGACCCCUUCCAUUUUUCCAAGUUUUGUUACAGCCUUAUUCUAAAAUGGAUUAAUAAAAAAAAUGUCCUCAUCAAUCUACACACAAUAGCCCAUAAUGACAAAAUGAAAACAGGUUUGUAGAAAUGUUACCUAAUUUAUUCACUAAAUUCAGUAAAUUAGGUAACUAAAAAACAGAAAUACCAUAUUUACAUAAUUAUUCAGGUGCUUUGCCUAUGAGACUUGAAAUUGAGCUCAGGUGCAUCCUGUUUCCAUUGAUCAUCCUUGAGAUGUUUCUACAAUUUCAUUAGAGUUCACUUGUGGUAAAUUCAAUUGAUUGGAGAUUAUUUGGAAAGGCACAUAUAAGGUCCCACAGUUGACAGUGCAUGUUAGAGCAAAAACCACGCAUUGAGGUCUAAGGAAUUGUCCGUAGAGCUCCGAGACAGAAUUGUGUCGAGGCACAGAUUUGGGGAAGAGUACCAAAACAUUUCUGCAGCAUUGAAGGUCCCCAUGAACACAGUGGCUUCCAUCAUUCUUAAAUGGAAGAAGUUUGAAACAACCAACUCUUCCUAGAGCUGUUUGCCCAGCCAAACUGUCAUUAUGGGGUAUUGUGUGUAGAUUGAUGAGGGGAAAAAAUACAAUUAAUUUUAGAAUAAGGCUGUAACGUAACAAAAUUUGGAAAAUUCGAGGGGUCUGAAUACUUUACAAAUGCAUUGUACCUGUCUUACAAAAAGACUAAGAAGAAACCCUGAUUAUGUUGCUAAUCUAGUGAAAUACAUAGUAAUCUGUCAAGUGUAGUUAUAGAUUUCUUCUAAAUGGCUAUACUAUGAGUAACAUUAUGGGGUUUCAUUAGCAUAAUUUAAUGCUUGCGAUUGGCUACAUAACUGUGUUGUAGAUUCACUUGACAUUCACAGAUCAGUAAUCCAAUCAGUCAAUUACUUGUGGACUGUAUUGCCAGUAUUGAUUUACAUUUAAUUUGUGAGGUUAGUCUAAUUUACUCUCACAAAAUGUUUAACAUUAUUGUAUUUUAGCAUUACCCAUCCUAACCAUUUUGGAUUUUGGUCCAAUGAAAUAAAGUAGUCUGGGCAAUUUGAUGUGCUACCUCAAUUGUAGCGCACUUGAAAUGGCUUGCAGAUUUCGUAUUAUAUUGUCAUGAUACUGAGAUAGAUGUUGAGUUGGUAACAACACAGACUCAUGCACGUUGCACAAACACAAUUUGCUUAUUUGGGAGGAUGUACGGUCCCAGACAACUCAGCUUCUCACUAGAGGCUCACAGAGGAGCCAGUAUAAAAGGAUUAGUGAAGGCUUUGUUUUAGUUUGUCAGGCUGCAUAGUCUGUGUUAUGAUCCGUCUUUGGCUGGGACUCUGACAUGAUUGUUGUUUUUCCUGUAGCUGUGUGUAAUGUAGAUCUAAGGGAUGUAAACAAUGUGUUUAUGAGAGUUUUUUUUAAAUUAUGUCCUGAUAGCUUUUUUGCAAUGUUCCCUACUUCUCACACCACUAAUAUCAUAACUAUAUAACACUGUCACUCUUUUGUCAUACCCCGCUAGGGGUUCUCCACUCAUACAUUAGGACAGCCACAGU